RNAcentral lists this long non-coding RNA (328 nucleotides) under Elaeis guineensis (African oil palm). RNAcentral describes it as "long non-coding RNA (EGUI_LNC067026)". Lineage: Eukaryota; Viridiplantae; Streptophyta; Magnoliopsida; Arecales; Arecaceae. The record is from RNAcentral.
GCCAUUUUGGAAGAUUGAGUCUUGGAUAAGAUUGCUUGACGGUUUGGUUUAGCCCAUACUAAUUAGAUUGAUCAUAUGAUGACUGAAUAGAUGAGAUCUAAAUCUAAAUCUCUCCAUAAAUAUUAAGUCCAUAGAUCUUCCAUCAUUGUAGAUGUACGGGAUGUGAUACUAAUGUUGAUUGUUCUCGAUUGGUCACAGUGGUUCAGUUACACAGAGAAUAUGUAACUAUUCUAUUAGCAAAUAGUUGCUCCAAGGUAAGGAUGGAGACGAGCCCAAUAUCUAUUAGGUGAGGAACCCAAUGAUGGCUUUGUACGUACUUGUGAACGGU